UGCGUAGGCCGCGCGGAGGGUGGGAUGUGAAAUCCCCCGGCUCAACCGGGGAAUAGCGUCCCAAACCGCCGUGCUCGAGGGAGACAGAGGUGAGCGGAACUGAUGGUGGAGCGGUGAAAUGCGUUGAUAUCAUCAGGAACACCAGUGGCGAAAGCGGCUCACUGGGUCUCUCCUAACGCUGAGGCACGAAAGCUAGGGAGGCAACG
RNAcentral lists this ribosomal RNA (206 nucleotides) under uncultured bacterium. RNAcentral describes it as "partial 16S ribosomal RNA". It matches the Rfam family "Bacterial small subunit ribosomal RNA", at positions 568 to 773 of the family's 1533-position model. The record is from RNAcentral.